AAAGACUUAAUUCUUGGGUUUACGUGUCCAACGUUUGACCGUCCGUCUUAUAUAAACUUUUUUAUGAUUAGUAUUUUCAUUAUUGUUAGAUGAUAAAACAUGAAUAAUACUUUAUGCAUGACUAUCUUUUUAAAUUUUUUUAAAUAGGACGAACGGUCAAACGUUAGACACGGAAAUCCAGGAAUUGAGUUUUU
Oryza meridionalis is the source of this 194-nucleotide non-coding RNA. The record is from Rfam. NCBI's taxonomy places the organism in Eukaryota, Viridiplantae, Streptophyta, Magnoliopsida, Poales, Poaceae.